GAUCAUGGCUCAGGAUGAACGCUAGCUACAGGCUUAACACAUGCAAGUCGAGGGGCAGCGGGAUUGAAGCUUGCUUCAAUUGCCGGCGACCGGCGCACGGGUGAGUAACGCGUAUCCAACCUUCCGUACACGUCAGGGAUAGCCUUUCGAAAGAAAGGUUAAUACCUGAUGGUAUCUUAAGCACACAUGUAAUUAAGAUUAAAGAUUUAUCGGUGUACGUAUGGGGAUGCGUUCCAUUAGGUAGUAGGG
RNAcentral lists this ribosomal RNA (249 nucleotides) under uncultured bacterium. Its description in RNAcentral is "partial 16S ribosomal RNA". It matches the Rfam family "Bacterial small subunit ribosomal RNA", at positions 15 to 253 of the family's 1533-position model. The record is from RNAcentral.